AGAAGCUUAGGUUAAACUAGACCAAAAGCCUUCAAAGCUUUAAGCAAGUAUAGUCUACUUAGCUUCUG
This 68-nucleotide transfer RNA is filed under the name Mesoplodon densirostris (Blainville's beaked whale). Its description in RNAcentral is "tRNA-Trp". The record is from RNAcentral. Lineage: Eukaryota; Metazoa; Chordata; Mammalia; Artiodactyla; Ziphiidae.